CCGAAACUUCCAAAGAGGCGGGGUCCCUGACCACUUCCACCCAGUUCCUGGAUUGAAUGGGCAUGAUCAGGACUCUGUCGGCACGUGACUGAGAUGCGGGCUUCCCACUGACCCCGCCGUUCCUACCCACAGCCUGUGGAGCCGUGGGCGGGGAACGGCAUUUGAUGGUGCCCCUUGGAUCGGAUCCUCACCCUGGAGCCGACAUGAAGGAAAUGUGGGUGAUUCCCGGGACAUGGGGACACACAGGCUCGGCUCACAAGGCAGGGCCAGGCGGUGCUGGCCGAGGAGACAGGAGCCUGUGACCCUGUGAGAGCCACGGUCGGUCAAAGAGCCAGGUGUGGAGGGCACCUGCUAGCCCUGUGGCCUCAGAAACCAAAAUAUGGAAAGGCGAACACUGGUCCCGAGGGCAGUGGGGGAAACGAAACCAGGCUGAGCUUUUGGAACAGCACCCUGAUGAACAACAUGAGUCAAAAUCGGAGAAAUCUUCUCGGGCAACAGGCAGAGAUGCCACAAAGGUUUAUGCAAAAAAUAUCAACCACUGGGUCAUUUUAAACAGCUGAACAGAGAACAAUAUAAUAGAGUGAGGGCAGGGCAGGCACCUGUGAACAGUCAUGCGAAUGUCAUGCUGCUGUGGAAAAUGCAAAAAUGCUUGUUGCUUGUGAUGAUGUGGGAAAAAAGCAGCAUAAGGAAUUUUACUGCAUAAAAUUAUCCAAACUGUAAGAGCAAGAAGACAGGAACAAGAAAAGGCUGAUUAGGAAAAGGAGGGCAUUGAAGAGGGGGCGCCCUCUCUAUGGGACAGACCUUCGAGGGACUUUUCACCCCGUUUGUUUCUCCAAACUUUCUGCAUUUUCUACAAAGAGCAGGAAUUCGUUUUAUUGCCAGGGAGAAAAAAGGUUGUCCUGUCAAAACAUCAGAUGGUGAAUUCUGAGUGUGAGCUUUGGGGGUGUUUCUAGAGCAUUUAAAACAGUGGAUUCUGGGCGGGGCCCUCUGUGGUGUGGGUGGGCCUCGUCCAAUCAGGUGAAGGCCUUAAUAAAAGAACAGGAAGACCCGCCUCUCUGGGGGAGGGGAUUUUCCAGCAGAGGCUCUGGGGCUUCCCGGGUCUCUGCCUGCCGCCCACAUUGCAGAUGUGGACUUGCACCUGCUGUGGCUGUGUGAGCCAACUCCUCUGAAGAGUCGCCUCCCCUCCCUACACACGUCCAUCCGGCCUGCUUCUCUGGGGAGCUCCAACGAACACAAGGACUGAUGAAAAAGGAUCUGUUUGUCCCCUGGCCGGGGUGCUGAAGAGAGAGGCCUCAGAAAGUUCCUGAGGCGCGAGCCGCCAGCAGAAGACGUCAGGGCAGGAAGCCAUGGGUCUCCAUGGAAACGGCAUCAACUGUGUACAAAGCACAGGCCGACGGCACGUGGUGUGGCCUCACCAGGCGCCAUGCAUUCUGGAAGGUGGGGCGAGCAGGCGACAGGCUGCCAUCGCGUACAGACUGGGGGCUCCUCUGCCUUACGGGAGGCAGAGGGCGAUCCAGGGCCACAGUUGGGUCCUGGCCUGCCGGGAGGCUGGUUUAGGAAGAGCCUCUGGGCCCAAGGAGUCAGCCCCGCUCGGCCCUUCUCCUGCAGUGGGCGAUCUGCCCCAGGCCCUCCACACUGCAACCCUGCAUCCUCACCUGCUGCUGGGAAGAGCCACACGAACCACGGCCUAAGAAGCGGCCGCCCAGUUAGCCCAAGGAGGCAUUUCAGCGGACAGAAAGCAGGGCUACACUGUUUUUCACCUAGAAAUGCUAAAUUCUCUGGGAGUGCUAUUAAAACUGGCUGAUUCUGAACGUUCCCAACACGAUGGAAAUGAUAAACGUCUGGUGGUGGAUAUGCCGAGUGCCCUGACCCGGUCAUUACUGCAGUGCAUUGACAGGUCGCGCUGUACCCCACAAGAAGGUAGUUGCCGCGCAUGCCUCCGCCAAAGGCAAAGUGACAAGGCCGCAUCUAUGGAGCAGAGAGCAAGCCGUGCCCAGUCCCCAGUCUCCUGAACCUUGGCCUCGGACUUCCCGGGCCCUAGAAUUGUGUGGAAUGAACGUCUAUUAUUUAUAAACUGCCAUAGCAGCAAUUGGGCACUGGGACACCUAAAUGCUUAACACAGCGCACAUUCGAUUAUUAUAAGCCUGGAGACAGCUCUGUGGUUGUUGCGGGAAGAAAGAACUACACAGGAGCAAAAGAAAAGAGGGCAGGGAAAGCAGGCUUGUGCAGCAGCUGAGAAGAGAGGAUGCAGCAAGGAGAGAGACGGACGCAGGUAAGGAGGUGUCCGGAGGAAGCAGCGUCAGGUCUGCUGGGAUCGGAUCAGCCCCAGGCCCAGUUUUCUCAGCGCGCAGUGGUGCUGUGUGUGCAGAUGCAGAAGGUGAAGAACCUGCAGAUCUCCUGUCACAGCUAGGAAUAAAGUGGGGGUCACGGGCCAGAGGGCAGCGCCCACUGCCAUGGCCCGGAGUGGUCGGCUGGGGAGACCAAGGCCCCAGCGCCCCCGGCCCUGAAGGGUGGACAAAGAGGAGAAAGCAGUGAGAAGCUGGGAUGGGGCGCAGCGGUGCAGACACGGACACAGGGCAGAGGGCAGCGGGGAGAAGGGAGCAGGAAGAGACCCGCACCGCUGGCCCUGGGAGAGGGUUCUGCAUAAGGAAGCAGAGGGCAGCCCAGGGAAGUGGCCACAGCGAAGGGGCGCACAUGGGAAGGGACUUUCCAUGCGCCUGUUCACACUCGGGGCUUCACCAGCAGAACACCAGCAGGGUGCAGGGCAGAAAGGGCUCUCAUGCUGGGCUCUGGGAGCCCUCCCGGAUGGCUGUCCACUUUCUCCAUGAACCACAAGGAAGCACAUCACUUCCUCACUGUGCCGCCUCGGAGGAAAGGACUGCACCUCUCUGAGUCUGUUUCCUCGCUAGCAAAGGCAGGAGUCACUAGGGUUUGUCUUGCAGAAAGAGGGCCAAGGGAAAGUGAGGCCCCAUGGCCAACACGCCUGAGCCAGUGCCUGGCAUCGACACCUUCCAAGUGUGGGCGCCACCAAGACCACUAACACCAAUGCCACCUACGCCAGGAUCUCAGAAGGCCAGCAUGGGCCCCCACGCUGCACGCCACCCCAGCUCAUUCCUUCAUCACUACAGAGCUGGCAGAGGUGCAGGCUUGCCUGCUCAUGGGGACACAGUGCACGGGGCAGACAGGUCCCACGCUGCAGGGCUGACACUCGCCUCCCCGCAGUCGGGAGGCAAAACUUUCAGAACGCCAUCUACCCUUCCUGGAGCCAGGCUGCAAUCUGGGUCAAACCCGAGCUCCUGGCCCAAGCUCCAGAUAUCCGAGCGGCCCCGCAGCCUGAUCUCAGCAGGCUCCAAGUACGCUGGCCGCUGGGCGUGACUGGCGCUGGGACUCCAUCCAAGAACUGAGGAGGCCCGGAUCGUGUUUCCAGCCAUUUCGCUGCUCAGCUGUUUCACAGAAAAGCAACAGAGCGGUGUCCACAUCCGGGAUGAGGGGCAAAAGAAGCCAAGGAAGGGAGCAGACAGGGGGGCUCACGCCAGCAGCUUCCUCCUUGUGAAUCCUGAGGUGCGAAAGCCUGACACACACGAUGCUGUCCUGUCUGGUGACCAGUGCCUUCCCAAGGUAGCCAAGGGCAGAGGCUGGCGUCUCCCUUCCUGUUCAUCACUUCCGUCUGGUUCCACUUUCCCAGUCCAUCCUCCCCCCACGCAAUGAUUGCAUCUUCAAUGAACCGGGCCCAGUUUGGUUUGGUUUAAGGACAAGACUUUGUCCUUUCCCUAGGGAAGCAGCAGGACAGCAUGGAGGCCCCGGCUUUGGUGCCCACCAUGGCCCGGGCUGAGCUCAUCGGCUCCCCACAGGCUCCCCACACAUGCAAGGCUGAGAACCUACUCUGCGCGUCACGCUCCGCAGCUGACAGCAGCACAGGGGCCGGUGUGAAAACCGGACAGUGACGAAAUCUAGCAGCAUCCCGCUGGUCUCCCUGACCAACAUGGGGCCUUUCUCUCUCCUCUUUGUUCUCAGCCGCUCCCCCUCUUCUCUGGCCUUUGGGGGUGCACGUAGGGGUUCCCUUGGACGAGGUGUGCACUCCUUGGGAACUGAAGAUUCGGGCUCCAACUCACACCUGCAGGCAGCAAGCCCCGGGCUCCUGCUGCAUCUCCAAAGACAGGGACUGUCACAGAAAGGCUGGUGGCCAGCCUGUGACUGUCAGGAGACAGGAUCCUGUACAGGGAGGCCCAGUGGGGAAGCAAGCUCACCCUUGGGGUGUGUGGGACCCCGGCCCCUUCCUGUCUCUGUUUUCUGGCUUCCUGUCUGGCAAGAGGUCCCCUGCACCCCGUGCCCCUGCCGUGACAUGCUACCUCGUCCCAGGCCCACAGCGACAGUGCCCUCGACCACAGACCACAGACCAGAAGCUCUGGACCUAUGGGCCAAGUGAGCCUCUCCUCCUUAGAAGCUGUUGGCCCUGGGUGUUGUGUCACAGUGACAGAGAGCUGCUCACACACACGGCCACCCGCACGGCACACAUUCAGAGGCCAGGGCUGCCUGGUGGGGGCAGCUGGGAAGGAAGGGGCUGUGCCUCAGCCACACCCCAAUGACUGUCACAGCAGAGGCUGCACUCGCUUGGGUCUGCGGCCCCUACGCCCUGCUCACAGUGUGACCAAGCCAAGAGAAGACCAGGAGCAAGGGAGUGAGCCAGACUUGACUCACCACGAGGAGGAAAUGAACAAAUGACAGACAUCAGGAGAGAAACGAGGCCAUCAGCAAAAUUAGUGACAAAGUUUCCGCAGCCCUCUCAGCAUCUUCACAGGGAUAAAUCUCCACAGGCUGGCACUGCACAGCUGGGCCUCUCCAGGCUUCAGUAAGAUACCCCGCAGAGGGGUCUGCACGAUGCGACCCACAGCGCAUGGGAAGGAGAGGAGCACCAGGCACUCUGGCCGGGACAUGGACAGCAUGCCGGCACUGCGAGGCACUGAGCAGAGCGCGCCUGGGCAGGCAGUGUCCCCCAGGGCCGAGUCAGGUAUGUCACACAAGGUCCUUCUGCCCGGGCCUCAUCUCACACCAGGAGACGCCUGCAGGGGACCUCAGAAGGAAGGAAGGACUGCAGACUCCUUACCCGGCCCGGGCGGCUCUUUACAUUCACGCGCUUCUGUUUAGGAAGCACGUUCUAGAAGGUCACUGUGCAUUUCAGAGCUCUGCGUCCAAACCCUGAGUCACAGAUCCUCCGAAAACACACUGCUGUGCACUCUGUGGUAUUUCUGUUUGUUUUUAACUCAAGCCCUCCUCUCCAGAACACAGCCACUGCACAUUUUUAAAGGAAACCUGACCACUGUGCUUCCGGGAAUCUCUGCUCUUUGUCUUCUGUUCGACCUCUGCACAACGGCUUAUGCUUACAGCAUGUGUGAGCACACACGCACACGGGCACCCAUGCACACAUGCAAACGGGCCCACACAGACACACAUGGACACACAUGCACACACAGGCACAUACACAGGGACACACACACACAGGCACAAACACGCACACAGGCACACACACUGUUUAUAAUAGUUCCAAGAGUGUCCUGAGAUCAUUUUUUGCUCUACCUUUUGAUGAUCCUGAUAAGCACUCUUCCCACUGGACAGACAGAGAGCAGUGGCUGACCCGAGCAUCUGAGUUAAGGGCUCCGGGCAGCUCCGGCUCCAGGACUCGCCCGCCUGCCUGCCUGCCUCUCUGGUGCACCUUCCACCCAGGUGGGGCCGUUUCUUUCUUGACUGUAGUUCUUUGGAAAAAAAAAGGAAAAAAGCCUACCUCGAUCUUAAAGGUGUACGUGGCCUUUUCAAGGAGAGACUGAGAGCCACAAAGGCAGCACUGACUGACUCCCAUCCAACUGUCAUUACAGAGUCUGAGGCUAUUUUGAAAACACAAACAAAUAAAUGAGUAAGGACCUGAAGGUCGGCACCUGACAGUCACUGACCGUGACCUACAAACCUGUACAGGCCUGAGCAGCAAACAACUGCAGAACACGGGUCCUCUACUCGUGGGCAAAGGACCCUCGCCACGCCCACCUCCGCCGAGCAGAGCGUCACGUCCAGACAGCUCUGGGACACUGACUCACCUGAAGUCUUUUUGGUUUCUCAUAUCAGAAAAACCAUUCGAUAUCUAAGCCUGUGUGUUUGGCUGGGUUUUCAUGACACUGCGUGAGAUUGCCUCCCUCAAACCCUGGUACGAUCUCAGCAUAUUAUGUUUGUGAUGGGAAAAAAAAGAAGAAAGAAAGGGGAAAAAAUUCAAAACUUUGCUAACACUGCUGGCCACUCUGAUACACUGCUGGUAGGAGAGAAAACUGAACCUACAUCAGAUUAUAGACGCUAAAGCCUUCACGUGAGAAUUUAGCCUGUGCUUGCAUGGAGUGGUCACUGGAGUGGUCACUGGAGUCUGCGGGUCGUAUGAAAAGACUGAGGCCGUGCCCGAGAGUGGGAGCCAUCUGAGACUACAGUGCACUACAGAAGAGCUGCUGUGUGCUAUAACAGAGAAGGGGAAGGGCUCUGCUCUGGGCAGGGCAAAAUCCCGAGACACUCUGUUCAGGUAAAAAACUGGGGGCUGAGGACAGUUCAACCAGCCUUUCUGCCUGCUUGUACAGGCAUGGACACAUCCAAAAUAAAGGCGGCUUCCCCGCACCACUGGCCGAAGUGUAAUGCACAGUCCUAGGAAGCAACUGGGCAAGACCGAGUGAGGCUGACGGGGUGCACAGCCUCAGCUCAGCAGCGCCCAUCCCGGAGAGGCCGCGACACAUGAGGCCAGCAGGACACACGCACAGGCUGCACCUGGCUUCGUGUCCGCCUGAUGGCAAGGGAAUGUGCCAAGGACAGUGCACACGAGGACAGGUGUGAGGCCUGCCGGGUGACAGGAACCCCCCAGGGUCCACAGAGCUGGACGGCACUCUCACAGGAAAGUUUAAAUACGAGAGAGUGUGCUGCUCAUGGCACACUGGGCACAAGGGGGAGCACUGUGAAAAUAACCAAAUUCUGGGUAAACGUUUCCUCUGAGGGUGAAGAGAGAGUUAAGCGGAGGAGGCACAUUUGAAGCCCAUCUGUAGCACUUCUGAACCUCCAAGAGACUUAAAGGUGCAACAUCAGAAGAAAAUCUUCAUUCCCGAGUGAAUCUGAGUCAUUUAGGGUCAGUGUUUUUCAUCACCUCCUGAAAACUCUCGGGAUGAACGAACUCUGUUGCCUCAAUUUCGUACACUGAAAUCCGGACCCUGGGGCAGUGGCGUUCGGAGGCAGGGCCUCCAGGAGGUGAAGAAAUCUCUCUGUGAGCCCUGAGCCCCAGAGGUGGGGACAUAGGGAGAAGCCCAGAGAGGACUCCUGAGGAGAAAGCAGCCCUUAGACGCUGAGCCUGCUGGAACCCUGACCUUCGACCUCCAGCCUCGAAAACUGUGAGAACAAGUUUUGUGGUUUACAAGCCCCCAGUCAGAGCACCGUGAGCGGACGAGGGCCACUGCCAUGACCACCACUAAGAACGCAAAUGAACAAAACAAAUGCAACGGCACAUCAGAAACAGCCGAAGAGAGAAACGGGGAACCAGAAGACAGCAAGAAAAAAUAAGCCAGGCUAAAAAAAGGACAGUAAAUACAAAGAGCAUACAAAGCAGAGCUGAGCAAGUCUACCAAUGAAACACCAUCUCAGGGAAAGGGAGUGCGGCAAAGAUGUAUUUGAAGAAAACAGCUGAGAAUUCUUCCUAAAACACAGAAAGAUAACAAUCCAGAAGCCCAUACACCCCAGGUGGAAUAAACCAGAAAGAUCCGUGUGCAGACAAUAAAGCAAAACUACAGGAAAUACAAGGGAAAGUCUGGAGGCAGCUGCAAGCGGGGGCAACCUCUCUCCAAAGGGGCGGCGGACACAGGGUCCCGGUCACCAGGGGCUGCUGCAGAAUACAGGAGGUGCAGGGCCCAGCACC
Molecule: non-coding RNA, 7924 nt
Organism: Heterocephalus glaber (naked mole-rat)
Lineage: Eukaryota; Metazoa; Chordata; Mammalia; Rodentia; Bathyergidae
Source: RefSeq, a predicted model, not a curated record